RNAcentral lists this transfer RNA (72 nucleotides) under Uromyces viciae-fabae. RNAcentral's name for it is "tRNA-Gln (CTG) (tRNA-Gln-CTG-1-1)". It matches the Rfam family "tRNA". From Rfam's summary of the family: Transfer RNA (tRNA) molecules are approximately 80 nucleotides in length. Their secondary structure includes four short double-helical elements and three loops (D, anti-codon, and T loops). The record is from RNAcentral. Lineage: Eukaryota; Fungi; Basidiomycota; Pucciniomycetes; Pucciniales; Pucciniaceae.
CCUGGCAUCGUCUAGUGGUUAGGACACCAGGUUCUGAUCCUGGUAACCUGGGUUCAAACCCCAGUGCCAGGU